Molecule: transfer RNA, 82 nt
Filed under: Penicillium ochrochloron
Lineage: Eukaryota; Fungi; Ascomycota; Eurotiomycetes; Eurotiales; Aspergillaceae
Also listed under: 1 other name
Description: tRNA-Gln
Rfam family: tRNA
About the family: Transfer RNA (tRNA) molecules are approximately 80 nucleotides in length. Their secondary structure includes four short double-helical elements and three loops (D, anti-codon, and T loops).
Source: RNAcentral
GGUUGUGUAGUGUAAUGGCUAUCACUCCAGAUUCUGAAAUAUGGAUCUUCUGGCAAUCCCGGUUCGAUCCCGGGCACGACCU